Molecule: ribosomal RNA, 609 nt
Filed under: Klebsiella pneumoniae
Lineage: Bacteria; Pseudomonadati; Pseudomonadota; Gammaproteobacteria; Enterobacterales; Enterobacteriaceae
Description: bacterial LSU rRNA
Rfam family: Bacterial large subunit ribosomal RNA
Source: RNAcentral
UGCUGGAGGUAUCAGAAGUGCGAAUGCUGACAUAAGUAACGAUAAAGCGGGUGAAAAGCCCGCUCGCCGGAAGACCAAGGGUUCCUGUCCAACGUUAAUCGGGGCAGGGUGAGUCGACCCCUAAGGCGAGGCCGAAAGGCGUAGUCGAUGGGAAACAGGUUAAUAUUCCUGUACUUGGUGUUACUGCGAAGGGGGGACGGAGAAGGCUAUGUUAGCCGGGCGACGGUUGUCCCGGUUUAAGCAUGUAGGCUGGUUGUCCAGGCAAAUCCGGAUAAUCAAGGCUGAGGUGUGAUGACGAGGCACUACGGUGCUGAAGUAACAAAUGCCCUGCUUCCAGGAAAAAGCCUCUAAGCAUCAGGUAACAUCAAAUCGUACCCCAAACCGACACAGGUGGUCAGGUAGAGAAUACCAAGGCGCUUGAGAGAACUCGGGUGAAGGAACUAGGCAAAAUGGUGCCGUAACUUCGGGAGAAGGCACGCUGGUGUGUAGGUGAAGUCCCUGCGGAUGGAGCUGAGACCAGUCGAAGAUACCAGCUGGCUGCAACUGUUUAUUAAAAACACAGCACUGUGCAAACACGAAAGUGGACGUAUACGGUGUGACGCCUGCCCG